CAGAGCUAACAGAACAAUAGCGCACACAUCUGAUUCUCUUAGCCUCCACCUUCAAUCUCGUCUGUCUCCGCCUCUCCGGCCAUCCUCCUCCGCUCCACCUUCGGCCGUCCUCCUCCAGGCUCCGGUCGUCCUCCUCCGGCCACCACUUGUUGUUUCCACCAUUCCAACCUUCAAAUUUCUCUCAUCCUCAAUUUAUCUCAGGUCUGGGUCAUGGCUGAGCUUUUGUGUUAUAAAUAA
RNAcentral lists this long non-coding RNA (237 nucleotides) under Helianthus annuus (common sunflower). RNAcentral describes it as "hypothetical non coding rna". The record is from RNAcentral. Lineage: Eukaryota; Viridiplantae; Streptophyta; Magnoliopsida; Asterales; Asteraceae.